This 506-nucleotide ribosomal RNA is filed under the name uncultured bacterium. RNAcentral describes it as "bacterial SSU rRNA". It matches the Rfam family "Bacterial small subunit ribosomal RNA", at positions 24 to 518 of the family's 1533-position model. The record is from RNAcentral.
UCAGGAUGAACGCUAGCUACAGGCUAACACAUGCAAGUCGAGGGGCAGCAGGACGAUAGCUUGCUAUUGUUGCUGGCGACCGGCGCACGGGUGAGUAACGCGUAUCCAACCUUCCCCUUAGUAGGGCAUAGCCCGGUGAAAAUCGGAUUAAUACCCUAUGUUGUGUCAUGAGGACAUCUGAAUAACACUAAAGAUUUAUCGCUAAGGGAUGGGGAUGCGUCCGAUUAGGUAGUCGGCGGGGUAACGGCCCACCGAGCCCUCGAUCGGUAGGGGUUCUGAGAGGAAGGUCCCCCCACACUGGUACUGAGACACGGACCAGACUCCUACGGGAGGCAGCAGUGAGGAAUAUUGGUCAAUGGGCGUAAGCCUGAACCAGCCAAGUAGCCGUGCAGGAUGACGGCCCUAUGGGUUGUAAACUGCUUUUAUACGGGGAUAAAGUGAGGGACGUGUCCCUUAUUGUAGGUACCGUAUGAAUAAGGACCGGCUAAUUCCGUGCCAGCAGCGGC